Molecule: ribosomal RNA, 2932 nt
Filed under: Enterobacter hormaechei
Lineage: Bacteria; Pseudomonadati; Pseudomonadota; Gammaproteobacteria; Enterobacterales; Enterobacteriaceae
Description: 23S ribosomal RNA
Rfam family: Bacterial large subunit ribosomal RNA
Source: RNAcentral
GGGUUGUGAGGUUAAGCGACUAAGCGUACACGGUGGAUGCCCUGGCAGUCAGAGGCGAUGAAGGACGUGCUAAUCUGCGAAAAGCGCCGGCGAGGUGAUAUGAACCUUUGACCCGGCGAUGUCCGAAUGGGGAAACCCAGUGCAAUUCGUUGCACUAUCGUUAACUGAAUACAUAGGUUAACGAGGCGAACCGGGGGAACUGAAACAUCUAAGUACCCCGAGGAAAAGAAAUCAACCGAGAUUCCCCCAGUAGCGGCGAGCGAACGGGGAGCAGCCCGGAGUCUGAAUCAGCUUGUGUGUUAGUGGAACGGUCUGGAAAGUCCGACGGUACAGGGUGAUAGUCCCGUACACGAAAGCACACUUGCUGUGAACUCGAAGAGUAGGGCGGGACACGUGGUAUCCUGUCUGAAUAUGGGGGGACCAUCCUCCAAGGCUAAAUACUCCUGACUGACCGAUAGUGAACCAGUACCGUGAGGGAAAGGCGAAAAGAACCCCGGCGAGGGGAGUGAAAAAGAACCUGAAACCGUGUACGUACAAGCAGUGGGAGCCUCUUUAUGGGGUGACUGCGUACCUUUUGUAUAAUGGGUCAGCGACUUAUAUUCUGUAGCAAGGUUAACCGUAUAGGGGAGCCGAAGGGAAACCGAGUCUUAACUGGGCGUUAAGUUGCAGGGUAUAGACCCGAAACCCGGUGAUCUAGCCAUGGGCAGGUUGAAGGUUGGGUAACACUAACUGGAGGACCGAACCGACUAAUGUUGAAAAAUUAGCGGAUGACCUGUGGCUGGGGGUGAAAGGCCAAUCAAACCGGGAGAUAGCUGGUUCUCCCCGAAAGCUAUUUAGGUAGCGCCUCGUGAACUCAUCUUCGGGGGUAGAGCACUGUUUCGGCUAGGGGGCCAUCCCGGCUUACCAACCCGAUGCAAACUACGAAUACCGAAGAAUGUUAUCACGGGAGACACACGGCGGGUGCUAACGUCCGUCGUGAAGAGGGAAACAACCCAGACCGCCAGCUAAGGUCCCAAAGUCAUGGUUAAGUGGGAAACGAUGUGGGAAGGCACAGACAGCCAGGAUGUUGGCUUAGAAGCAGCCAUCAUUUAAAGAAAGCGUAAUAGCUCACUGGUCGAGUCGGCCUGCGCGGAAGAUGUAACGGGGCUAAACCAUGCACCGAAGCUGCGGCAGCGACGCUUAGGCGUUGUUGGGUAGGGGAGCGUUCUGUAAGCCGUUGAAGGUGUCCUGUGAGGGGUGCUGGAGGUAUCAGAAGUGCGAAUGCUGACAUAAGUAACGAUAAAGCGGGUGAAAAGCCCGCUCGCCGGAAGACCAAGGGUUCCUGUCCAACGUUAAUCGGGGCAGGGUGAGUCGACCCCUAAGGCGAGGCCGAAAGGCGUAGUCGAUGGGAAACAGGUUAAUAUUCCUGUACUUGGUGUUACUGCGAAGGGGGGACGGAGAAGGCUAUGUCAGCCGGGCGACGGUUGUCCCGGUUUAAGCAUGUAGGCGGAGGUUCCAGGUAAAUCCGGUACCUUGUUAACGCUGAGGUGUGAUGACGAGGCACUACGGUGCUGAAGUGAUAAAUGCCCUGCUUCCAGGAAAAGCCUCUAAGCAUCAGGUAACACGAAAUCGUACCCCAAACCGACACAGGUGGUCAGGUAGAGAAUACCAAGGCGCUUGAGAGAACUCGGGUGAAGGAACUAGGCAAAAUGGUGCCGUAACUUCGGGAGAAGGCACGCUGAUGUGUAGGUGAAGCCCCUGCGGGCGGAGCUGAAAUCAGUCGAAGAUACCAGCUGGCUGCAACUGUUUAUUAAAAACACAGCACUGUGCAAACACGAAAGUGGACGUAUACGGUGUGACGCCUGCCCGGUGCCGGAAGGUUAAUUGAUGGGGUUAGCGGCAACGCGAAGCUCUUGAUCGAAGCCCCGGUAAACGGCGGCCGUAACUAUAACGGUCCUAAGGUAGCGAAAUUCCUUGUCGGGUAAGUUCCGACCUGCACGAAUGGCGUAAUGAUGGCCAGGCUGUCUCCACCCGAGACUCAGUGAAAUUGAACUCGCUGUGAAGAUGCAGUGUACCCGCGGCAAGACGGAAAGACCCCGUGAACCUUUACUAUAGCUUGACACUGAACACUGGUCCUUGAUGUGUAGGAUAGGUGGGAGGCUUUGAAGCGUGGACGCCAGUCUGCGUGGAGCCAACCUUGAAAUACCACCCUUUAAUGGCUGGUGUUCUAACGUAGACCCGUAAUCCGGGUUGCGGACAGUGUCUGGUGGGUAGUUUGACUGGGGCGGUCUCCUCCCAAAGAGUAACGGAGGAGCACGAAGGUUGGCUAAUCCUGGUCGGACAUCAGGAGGUUAGUGCAAUGGCAUAAGCCAGCUUGACUGCGAGCGUGACGGCGCGAGCAGGUGCGAAAGCAGGUCAUAGUGAUCCGGUGGUUCUGAAUGGAAGGGCCAUCGCUCAACGGAUAAAAGGUACUCCGGGGAUAACAGGCUGAUACCGCCCAAGAGUUCAUAUCGACGGCGGUGUUUGGCACCUCGAUGUCGGCUCAUCACAUCCUGGGGCUGAAGUAGGUCCCAAGGGUAUGGCUGUUCGCCAUUUAAAGUGGUACGCGAGCUGGGUUUAGAACGUCGUGAGACAGUUCGGUCCCUAUCUGCCGUGGGCGCUGGAGAAUUGAGGGGGGCUGCUCCUAGUACGAGAGGACCGGAGUGGACGCAUCACUGGUGUUCGGGUUGUCAUGCCAAUGGCACUGCCCGGUAGCUAAAUGCGGAAGAGAUAAGUGCUGAAAGCAUCUAAGCACGAAACUUGCCCCGAGAUGAGUUCUCCCUGAGACUUUAAGUCUCCUGAAGGAACGUUGAAGACGACGACGUUGAUAGGUCGGGUGUGUAAGCGCAGCGAUGCGUUGAGCUAACCGAUACUAAUGAACCGUGAGGCUUAACCUUACAACGCCGAAGCUGUU